ACCUGGCAUACAAUGUAGAUUUCUGUGUUCAUUAGGCAACAGCUACAUUGUCUGCUGGGUUUC
This is a microRNA precursor of Callithrix jacchus (white-tufted-ear marmoset), 63 nucleotides long. The record is from Ensembl. Lineage: Eukaryota; Metazoa; Chordata; Mammalia; Primates; Cebidae.